GGAGUCAUGGUUCAGUGGUAGAACAUCGGCUUUGCAUGCAGAAGAUCCCAGGUUCUAUUCCCAGAAUCUCCA
This 72-nucleotide transfer RNA is filed under the name Sphaerodactylus townsendi. RNAcentral's name for it is "tRNA-Ala". It matches the Rfam family "tRNA". From Rfam's summary of the family: Transfer RNA (tRNA) molecules are approximately 80 nucleotides in length. Lineage: Eukaryota; Metazoa; Chordata; Lepidosauria; Squamata; Sphaerodactylidae. The record is from RNAcentral.